CUUUUUUCAAAAUAGAAGAUGAAAGAGAGAAGUUUAUCAGAAUGGUUUUUAAGAAAGCUAUCCCUAGAGGCAGAGGGUUUAAUUGAGGAAGUAAGAUUUUAUCUACAGGAUCUGUGAUCUUGUGGAAGGUUGGUUUGUGAUGGAAACAAAGAUGAAGCAGAGUAGUAUCUCGAGGAAUCAACACAUUGCAGAAGGAUGAUGGGACCAAGAGCAAUGAGGCCGGGAGAGAGACGAGAGUGUUCAUCCUGAGAGUGCUUGGGCGUUUAUGAAGACAGGGACAGAAAAAAGGAGACAGUUUUACAUACAGAUUUAUAAAGUGUCAUUUGAGGUAUGCGAAAUAUUACAAAGGGGAUUGAAUUCUAAUCCUGCCUCUGCCAUACUAUUUUGUAAAACUGGGAAAAAAAAUAAAUCCUCUGAGCCUCAGACUCCUCAGCUGUACAAGAGAAAAAUGAUAUCUACCUUGAGGAUUGAGCCUAACACACAGAGAGGCUUCUGUGAGGCUGUCCCUUCCCCGGCUGUCUGGGGAAAGUCCUCAGAAUGCAGCAAACACACACAGGGAGGUGCUCUGUGGACUUCUGAAUGCCUCCAAUGGCUGAAGACAGUAGGUCAUUCAGAACAACGCUAAUGGCAAAACUGCCGGAAAUGGGCCACACGUCCUAACUCAAAUGAUCCUUUCUUUUUAAAAAGUGGUGAAAAAUGACUGUGUGAGACCCCAAUCCUGCUCUAACGUACGAAUAGGAUUUGCAUUCAUAGUCUGUAGACUACAGUCUGAAACAAGUCUAAUCUGAAACAGCUGUGUUGUAGAACAGUAAAACUGAUGGCCAGUGGAAGCAAUUCCAGAGGGCCACAAGAUGGCAGCCUCUUCAUGCUUAUCUCUUGUGUGGUUGCCCUGCAUCUUCUGGGUUUGAUUUUAGGGGCAAGAACCUCAGGCGAGAGGGGAGGACUGGGGGUAGGGAUUCAAUCAAGAGUCGUAUAUAAAUGAAGAACAAUUUAUUUUCCUUUUUAAGUUUAGACAUACAUGCAUACAUACCUACCUACCUGCCUGUAUACAGACAUACAUUUUAUGUAUAUGUAUACAUAUAUAUAUAUAUUUAUAGUUAAUUUAUAUUAUUUUGUUUGUCCUCAGGAAGAUACUGAAAGCACAAGUGUAUUUGCAGAGCUCUGCCCCAAAGUGCCCUCUGGGCUGACUGCUGGCCCAGUGUGAGCCUGGAACGGAACAGAGACAGUCUUCCCGGUGGUGGCAGAGGUCCUGCCUCCCCUGCAUGGAAGAAUUCCUUCUUGUUCUUUUUUUUCUUUAGUCUUCUACGUGGUUGAAAAUUCACUUUAUCUUUUAUUGACUUUAAAUUCUCAUUUUAAUUCCAUUUUCUCCUUUUACUAUGCAUUUUUAACUGCGUAAUUUAUCUUACCACAAUUUUAGAAAAGGCAAAAUAACUUCAUUCAGUAAAGUAAGCGUGUUUGAAGUUCCUUUGCAAAAUCACUUUACACGCCAUGUAUACUAAACAAGGAAAAAUUUUAAAAUACGAAAAAAUUGAAAAAGAAUAACGUAAGACAAUAUAACAUUAUUACCUCUCAAACAUAAACCCUGUUAACCGUUUUAUAACAUUCCUCGUCUAUAUAGAUAGAAUUAUUUUUCAAAGUAGGAUUUUACUAUAUAUAGAUGCUUUUGUAGAUUUUUAAAAUAUUUAACAGCGUAUUAUAUACAUUUUUAUGUGUCAAAAAUGUGCUUCCACGUCAUAAAUUUUAAUGGUUAUACAGUAUUCAUUGUGUUAAUAUGUAUAGUAUGUUUAAUUAAGCCUUUACAAAAACAUGUUUUUGAAAAUACUGUAAUUCUACAGAAUAGUUAAGUAAGAAAGGAGAGAAAAGGAGAAUAUGAGCAAAGGAAGAGGAGAUGCCAAAUAGAAAAGUGGAAACACUGAACAAAGAGAUGCCAAGAAAGGCAAGAAGAGCACAGAGGAGAAGGAGUGCGUGCCAGGCAGAACGAGGUGAAGGAGGAGAAGGGGGCAGAGGUGAUGCCCAGGCCACCCCGGCUGGGGGCGGGCUGCUCAUUGGCGUGAGAGGUUUCAGACUGUCGGCCUGUAUUUUUGCUCCUUUGAAAUAGUCCAUUGCUGACAGACAGGGCUCUGUCGUUGUCCCUUCUCUUAAAGGCCGGUAGAUUCUCCCCAAAGAACAUGGAAGAGCAAUGAGAAGGGCAGAUUUUAACAGUUGACAUUAUCCUCUGCUUGUGGAACAGAGGAAGGUUAACCUAUGAUUUGGAAUUCAGCAGAAGGCCAAAUCUUCAGAGGGAAAAAAGACACAAAAACAUAUUUCUACUUCUAGUUCAACAAUAAGAUUGCGGAAAGAACACUCACCUCUGACAUGAUAAUUUAUGUGAAAUGAUGCCCAUGAAAUAGAAUCCUAUCGUAUUUAGAGUGAAAAGAUAUGUGCAGAUAAAAGGCACAUAUGCACACACAUCUUAGUAAAUGCACAUGAAGAGAUGAAUAAGGGUACAGACUGAUUUGGGACUGGCUGUAAAAGGGGAGAUCUAGGGCAUAGUAAAAAAAUAAUUUGACUUUUUACUUGAUAUUUUUAUAGCUUUAGGAUUUUUAUAGGGAGCCAUGUAUUGUUUUUCUAAAUAAAAAUAAAUGGAUAAAAAGAGAAAAUCUCACUGAGCACAGCUUAUCCAUGCACAGAAGGGAAGGGGGACAGUUCUGCAAAAUGCACAGGUCACAGCUGACAGGGACAGCCCUCCGGUCUCCCUCCGUUGAGCACCUUCUCCAGCAUCCUCAAAAGGCCUUCUUCUCACCUGGUGCCAUGUGACUCUCGCGUCAUGUGUUGCAUUUUAAGACUCUCUUGAAGAAAAUUCUUUGUGAGGCUUGGAUCUGGACCUCUUUAUCUUCAAAUAGUUGCAGAUGGUGGAGUGAGGUUUCAUGAAGAAAUAGCGUGGAUAGCAGACCUGAGUCAUUUACACAUGAGUGGCUUCAGAGGGAACAGAGAUUUUAAAAUGAAGACCUUUUUUGGGAGUAAAAUAAUAGGAGGAGAAGGUAAAGCUAAGGGAAAUGUCAAGUUCCUCGUGUUCCAAAAAUGAAGGUGGAAGAAUGGGGAUUGACCCACUAUAACCAUUCCCCCAAAUCUUACAUCAUGGGCUCCUAGGAAUCUACACAGAUUAUAAUAGGGGUCUGCAAGCCAUUUUCAAUAUUUCUUCAAAUCUAAUAGUAAUCAUACAUUUUACCAAAUAAGGCUGCUUAACUUAGCUAAAUAUCAAGAGUUUUCCCUUGUCUGGAAGCAUCUCAGCUCACUUGGAUAAAGCAUGCUAUUUUCUGACAUAGACCUUCUUAUGUUUUUAAUAACAAUGGGAAAAUAAUUAACCAUACUUAAUAAAUCGAUCCUUUCCCCUACUUUCAACAUUGAGUCUCAUCUAUUUCUUGAAUUCUACCCGUUGUUUCAUGUUCCAGUUUCUAUCCCUUCCAUGUCCCACCUAGAAACCCAUCACAUUAAUUAUAUAUCAGGACCCUCCUCUGUACCUGACACUUCUGAGCAGCUGGUAAUUCCUACCUAGAAUUUCAAGCUUCUCUUCCUUGACUCCUGCAGAAGUAGAAUAGAAUCUACUUCUUCUUGAUUAGAAUGUUCUCUUUCCUGCAAUCAGCAGAAUCUUUGCUCAGGACCCUUGGCAAGUAUCUAGUGGAUGGGUGAUUUUCCAGCAGCAGCCACCAGAGACACCUAGGCUCCUGAUCUAGAAAAAUUAAAUUAAAUUAAAAACCCAGAUUAUUGGUUAUCCCAUUUGGGAACUUGGUAAGAUUAAAGUUAAAAAGCUAAGGAAAGCUUUUAAUAAAAAUUGUGGGGGCUUAUCUUAAACAUGAAUAUUUUGAAUGCAGUCUCAUCUUUAGGUUCUAAAGUAACAGGAAGAUAUCCCUUCUUCUUACAUAGUCAGUUUCUCUCUCCAUGAGAGUUUUCAAAGAAUAACGUAGCAAUUGACCACUUUGGGGGCAACUAAAUUAUUUUAGAGACUCUUGCAGAGAGUCAAGAUGAAAGCUAAUUCUUGAUCUCUAGCAGUUUACAAGCGUUACAAGCAGGUCUGUAAAAUACAACAUAAAGUUGACUAAAAUACGUGCAAAGUUCUAUGGAAGUACACAGGUAAAAUGACUUUAUGUUUUUUAGAGAAACAUUUUAGCUGGUCCCCAGAGACUUAGAUUUUUUUUUUAAGAAUAGAAAGAAAGAGAAUUCCAGCUGCAGGGAACAGCAUGGGCAAAGGCUUGGAGGCAUGAAAAAUGCCUGAUAAAAUGGACAAUGACAAGUACAGUGUUAUUGCUAGACUUAAAAGUGGAGGGGACCAUAAUGGGAAGAAAGUCUGAAAAGAAUUUCAAGGCCAGACCAUACAGUGCCCUGAAUCCCAGGCCAUGGAGAUUCAUUUCUUUCUACAUUCAGUGAGGAGCUAUUGAUGGAAUUGGAGCAAGAAGUAUUUUCAGAACUGUGCCUUAGAAAGAUCGAUCUGGCAGCAAUAGUAAGAUAGAUUGGAGGCCAGGAAACCAAUUAUAGGAUUAAAAUAAUACCAAUGGCAGAUGUUUAAGACCUAAAAUAGUACAUUAUGAAAAGAAAGGGACCGUACUCUGCCCACGAAAACAUCUGUAGUUUGAGAAGGGUGGCACUGAGAUUUUCCUGUGGUUGUCAACUCCAUCCCUGUCAUGGCCCAAAGGGAAGAUCUAAAGUAAAUAUUUCUCUUUAAAAAAGAGCUUCAUAUCAACAAAUAUAAAGAAAAAAUGUCUUGGUGUGCUUAAGAUCAUCAACAGCGACUCUCAAAGAGACAAAGUCCUGGCAAGUGAGGCCUGAUGCUCCCAUUUCCAAAUGCUGGUUUAUCCUUUAAAUUGUACCUACAAUACAGUCAAAGAAAGGGAAUAGGAGAAUUUACUGCCUCUGUAGAGAAAAUGUCAUCCAUUUGCCUCUUCAUAGGAGGGUGAGUUUCACAAGAUUACCCUGGGAAAUUAAUUUUGAAAUAAACAAUUUAAAAUCCAAUCAUGACAAUUUAGGCCACAGAAAUUAGAAACUUCAAACCAGAGAAUGUGAGGACUUACAGGACAAUUAUACGUUGCCUACUCUGAAGUUUCCUAUCUUUUCCUCUUUUAUUUAUUUUUUUCACUGAGUUGAGAGCUUCACUCUUGAUCAUGACCAAGAUGACCAUGUUUUGUUACCAAUGUCUGGUCCACGGAUCACAUCCCAGAAAACCCUCAAAGUUAUCAAUUGCCAGGUAUCAUUUUUCAUCACCUUUAACUAACCAGCAUGAGCUCAAUGUAUUAAUGAAUUCCAAACAAAAUCAAACUCAAUAGUGAUUACUUUCAUGGCCUUAUGAUUUCCAUUGAACUUUCAGAGAUAUUAAAAACAAUUUAACAAUUCUUGUCACUACCUCUUGUUCCUAAAUCCUUAAGGAUCCCAGGGACCUCAGACGAGGAACAGCAGUUCUAACCUUAUCUCAGAUGAAAAUGAGGCACGGAGAAGGGAAGUGCUUUCCAGGGACAUGUAAGCAUUCUCUGCAUCCUAUAACUCAAUCUUAAGUAGCUUUUCAGGCCAAGGAAAAGAGACGGAUCUUGUGAUCUGUCUCAGAGAUUCCUUGCGUCCCCAGACUGUGAGGCUGAUUUCCAUGCUGUUUGGCUCCUGACUUAUAGGUUGAAGGCCAAAGGCUGCCCCUUGAGCCCUGCUCUUGUCUGUAGGUUUUUCCCAAAAAGUGUUUAAUUGUACCAAAAACGCAGCUGUCUUUGAUCCCACAACUUGCUUAGCUCAUUUCCCCAGGUUGCUUUAACAUUGCCAUUUGGACACAUUACUGCUCUCUUUGGAUCACUUUCAGGUAAGCAUGACAAGGAAAAUUUAAAAAUAAAAUAAAAUAAAAUAAAAAGAUGAGGAAGAAAAAAAACAGAAACAGAAACAAUGAAAAGAAGCAAGACAGGGUUGAUUUUCCUGGAGGGAAAACAUAGUUGCCUGGUGAUUUCGCCUUAGUUCUGGGAAAGAGCCCUGGCGGUGUCGCAGCCCCUGCUCUGCUGUUCCUCUGCUUCCCUUGUUUCUCCUUUACUCCUGCUCUCUUGUCUCAUGCUGAGGGGUGGGACCCGAGGCAUUUCAGGCACCAGGUUUCUGUUGAAAGACUCCUGUCCGUGCAAAGGAGGAAUACAAUCAGAUUGUUUGAUUCUUAACUUAUGAAUUUGAUUGAAGAGAUGCUAAAAAUUAAUGAUUAGAAAAAAAUUUGCAAUGAUUAGGGAUCAUGUCGAUGAGUAGAUAGAUGAGGAUGUAUUAUUUAUAUCAGCAGUGUUUUCCAAUGCGCAAAAUGUUGUGUGCUUGUAGAAAAAAGACUCAGAACCCCCUGUCUGGUCUCACAUCAUAUGAUCCAGCGUCUUUUAGAAUUCCAUUCCAAAUCUUUAUUGAAUGUAUUUCUUAAUGCCUUCCAUGACAGUAAAUAUUGGCCUGCUUUGACUUUGAGAAAGAGCUUUCUUACAAUCAGCAGAAUUUGGUCUCCCUGUGGGAUGGCCCUUUUGUCCUAAUCCUACCCCUUUUAAUCAUACAGAAUAAGUUAACGCCUUUCUGCUCUGAUGGAUCUUUCUGAAAUUUCAGAGAUGCUAUCACAGCUCCUCUAAGUUCUCUCUUCUCCAGAAAAAAUUUUCCUAGUUUCUGAAAUUGUUUGUCAUAAGCCUUGCCUCUAGAUGCAUUCCAUGUGUCAGUCCCUCUGUUUUUCAAGUCUCCCAGGAUUAGACACAACUCCUUUUUGAAAUUAAUACAAGCAAUAUAUGUGUAUUGAAAAAAAUUGGAAAAUACAGAAUGGCAAAAAGUAGCUUUAAAUUACUUAUGAAGAAUUUCUAUACAAAAAGGGCUGCUUUUGAUAUUUUGGCAUUUAACCUUCCAAAAUUAUUUCCAUGCAAACAUAUACUGUUAAAUUUUAGCAGGAUAGUGGGGUGAGGCUGAACUUAAAAAGCGAUGCUAUCUAUGUCUAUCUCUGAAAAUAGGGACACAAAAAAUCACUUUGGAGUAGAUACUUUUCCAGGAUGUGUCACUUAACUGAUUCCUCAUAGUUACGUAAAUUUAAGCCUACUUCUCACUCAAUUCUCUAAAGCAGAAGUCAACAAAUGGUUACUCCCUGUAAGUACCAGGGAGUCAAUGGAGUAGGGGUUGAAGGCUUUGUGGGCCUUGUGGGGUCUCUCUUGCUGUUGCUUCUCUUCUCCUUCCUCCUCCUGCUCCCUCCCCUCCACCUCCUCCUCCUCCUCCUUCUCUCUUGUUCAUUUACAAACUCAAAAAAAUGUUCAAACCACUCUUAGCUUACAGACCAUACGGAAACAGGUCACUGACCAGAAUUUGCCAGGAAGCUAUAGAUUGCCCAUCCAUUGUCCAGCUUCCCAAUUUCUCCCAAAGACUGCCCCCUCACUACUCUCUCAUAUAUAGAGCUGCGUCCUUGGGAAGAUUUGGUAAAUUUGCAUAGCGAUCAAAGAAUUUCCUGGGAAGAAGGGAAUAGAGACCUCAAACACCACCUCUUUGAGAUAAAAUUUUAUUGGAAUCUUUCUGAUAGGUUGGGAUGUUCCCAGCUGAAGAGUGAUAGCUGGAAAGCCCAAGAGCUCCAAAUCCAAGCUGAGCUAGCUAUGAGAGAUUAGCCAUCUAGAUUAUUGGCCUGGACCCUUAAAUAUUUGGGGAAGAGAACAUUAGUUAGUCAUGGUUCAUGACUAACUAAUCUAGUUUAAAAAAAGCUUAUGCUUUGGAAUUAAUGACUAAGGAGAUGAGUUCAUAUUCUUGGAGAACUAUAAUCCUCAAAGGAACUCAAAUAGGGAGCUCUCCGUUUUAGUCAUAGAUUAUGUUGAAGUAAAAAUAACUCCAAGUCUCUGCGGUUUAACAAGAUAAGGGCUUAUGCGUCACUUCCAGUUUGAUGGACAACUCUCCCAGACAGCUUUCAUAUACAGCUCUCCUCCCACAUGAUCACUGGGAUCUGGGCUGCUUCCAUUUUGUGAUGUCAUCAUCUGUAAUGCAUAAUCCCGUUUGCCAUGGAGCGGAAGAAAUAGCACGAGCAAUCAUUCAGGGUACUAUGUUCGGGCCUGAAAUUGGCCUAUAUUACUUCCUUUUACAUGCACUGGUCAGAAUCUAUUCAUAGGGCCCCAACUUAACUUCCAAAAAGACUAGGGAAUAUAGUUGUCCUAUGUGCCCAGGAAAAAAAAUAUUGUUUAAUAUCUAGCCAAUUUUGGCCAUAUUAGCUUUACCAACGUGUGGGUGUGGGAUGGGUUCGGAGUGGCACAUGAGACCUUUGCAAAGAUGUGGAACAGCAAGAGUGCAAUCACAGCAGUGAUAAGUAUGUGCCAUAACUUUUAGUUCUUUAAUUCUUUUUUUGCCUGGUGUUUGGAAGCCAGGUGUAAUUGGGCCCUUUGAACUGAGAGUUUUCAGAUACUAGAAGAUAGAGAGCAAGAGAAACAAAACAUCCUACCAAACUACAGCAACGAAGCCUUGAGUAGUUUAUUCAAAAAUGCUAUAUUUGUGACCUUAUAUAUGCCCUGAGCUGGUGAAGUGGGCUCUACUCAUUACAAAUAUAUGUAUAUGUGCGUGUGUGUGUCUUCAUAAACAUACUAGAAUAAUCUAUCUUCAUCUCAAAAAUAUGUUACGGCCAGUUUUCCUAGUGUAGUCAGGUUAGAAUAUAUCUAUCACUUUUCUCAUGUUUGAUUCCUUGGCUAUCAGUAUAGCUUAAGUUUGAUGAGCAUUUGGUGGCUAAUUUAUGCAAUUCGAACCCAAUGGUGUCUAAAAUCCUGAAUCUCUUUCUCACAUGCACACUAUAUCUCUGCUAUUUUGUGCUUGAACAGUUUGCCUUUGGUGGUUAACAUUUGUUGUUUUACAGCACCCAGAACCUAUUUUUCCUUCCUAUUGAUAACAAUAACAAAUUUCAUUUGGAAAAUUACAUCUUCACGUGACUCAGGGUGAGCGGAGAGCAUAAUUAAAAUGCUAUUCGCUUCCUUAGCCUAGAAAUGGGCAUAUAAUGGAGCGCUUAGAUUCUGUGUGCCCAGGAUAGUUACUCUCAUACAAAGUGAAGUCAGAUUGAGAAUAAAAAUAGUCACACAUUUUCAUUCCAGGAGGGGCUGUUCAUGAGAAUCAGAGAUGUUCUUGUUAUCUAAAUAACAAGACUGAACUUAUUCCUAUCAUUUUUGAGGUAAGUUCUCCAGAUUUCUCAUAAUUUCUAGGAGCUACCUGAUAUCAUUCCAAUAAAUUAUUUUUUUUAUUGAGAAUAGCCAGGUUGCAUUCUGUGACUUGCAAUCCAAGAAUACAUAAAUGAAACACUCGAGUAGAGGACUUAUAUUCUUUUUCAAUUAAAACUUUUUUUUUUUAUUUGUGGCCUAUUGAUCCACACUAUCUAGAUGAUUUUUUUAAUCUUUUUUCUGUCUAAUAACUAUUCCCUAACCGAUUCUGUUUCAUUGGAUCUGCAGACAUGGUGAAUAUGUCCUUAAUAUUGUCAUCGAAUGUCUAAUAAAUAUAUCGCUAUCUGUAAGGAGCACCUUUUCCCUCUCCUCUAAUUUUUAAAGACAUUUUGGUAACUUCAUAUGUGCAAAUAUUUUAUAUGAAAUUUUUUAAAAAUUAACUUUUCUGUAUGCAUACUCAUCCCUUGGUGUCUUUUUCUCACCCUUCUUAGUGGAUCUCUAAAAAUUUAGAAUGUUUAUGUAGCCCAAUGUGGAAAAGAAAGGGUACAAUUGACCCAAAGUGUCAGUAACGAAAUUAGAGUAAGUUUCUCUUAGUUAUCUAUUUCUGCAUAGCAAAUAACCUACAAACCUAAUGACUUAGAGGAAGAAUAAAUGUUUAUUAUUUAUCCUGUAGUCUACGGGUCGGGAAGUUGGGAGCGGCUGGCUGAGCAGUCUGGCUCAAGGUCUCUCAUGAAGUUGUAACCAUCUAAUGGCCACAACUGCAGUUACCUGAAGGCGUGACUGAAGCUGGAGGAGCCACUUCCAAGGUGACUCACUCAUGUGGCUUGCAAGCUCAUGUUGGUGGUUGGUUGGAGGUCUCAGUUCCUCUCUGAUUGGCCUCUCCACAGGGCUACCUGAGUGACCUCAUGGCAUGGCCACCAACUUCUCCAAGAGCAAUUGGUCAAAGAGAGAAAAGAGGAAGCUUCAAUGCCUUGUAUGACCUAGUCUUGUAAGACACAUACUUUUACUGCCACCAUAAUUUAUUGGUCACACAGACCAGUGCUGAUUCAUUGUGGGAGAAGAUUACACAAGGGCAUAAAUACCAGGAGGCAGAGAUCACGGGGGACAUUUUGGAGGCUGACUACUGCCGUCAGUGACUGAAUGUGGUCAGUAUUUAACACUGCAAUUCCUUUAACCACCUCGCCAGCCAAUGGGCCAUGUAGACUACACACUGUAAUAGCGUUGCUAUGUGUGGGAGGAAAGCACACGCCAUCCACUCAAGGAGUUUUUCAAACUACAUGUGACAUUCCUCCUCAUUUGCCAAGAUUCUGAUGUGCCUUCUGUUAGUACACACUCCAAGGUUUUAGAAUUACCAUUCUAUUGAAACAGCAUUAAUUAAAAGAUACAAGUGGCUAAAUUCCUUACAUCUGUGUAGAAAAACUUAAGUCCCUGAAAGUAAUCCCUCAACCCUCUCACUUUUCAUAGACUCAGACCUGAGCUACUCACCCUGACUCACUCCAUACACCCAUCACAAGCUGUUUCCAACCCCACUCAACCUCAAUAUGGCACUUUGGUGUUGUUUUCUUGACUAUGACAUUGGCCCCAUCCCUGCCUAGAUGUCAGUUUAUCCCCCUGCUUCAUCACAUCCUCAAGAACCCAUGUGUGACUCCUGCAGAGAGCAGUUCCUGGCCAAAAACCAGAGAACUCUUUCUGUGGUUGACCUUGUGAGCUAUGGCGGCCAAGCAGUGAUGCUUCUGUGCCCUGGGGAAAUCGUGUGGUACUGAGUCAGGAAAACGUAUACCCUUCUGGUCUUCUGGGAAGAACACACGGAAGUGCGGGUACAGUGAGGAGGAUGGGGGCACAGUGUUCUUUGGUGCCUUGAUGGAUGGCAGUUUCAGGAGUGCUGGGAAGCCAUGUAGACAGCAGAGAUUUCACGGAAAUGGUCAGAGGUAGAAAAUGCAGGGAAGUCCCGUCCAGGACCUACAGGAACAGGGGAUUCACCACACGAGAGGAAGGAAUAGGAGAAGCUUCUUACUGACUAUAAAUGGCAUACUUGCUCAUAAGUACAUGUGAGAAAUCCCCUGCAGACCCCUUGAAAUAGUUGGGAGCCAAUUUGAGGGAAUCUGGAAGUCCUGUGUGAGCAGGUCAAAGCAAGAAUCAGUAAACUCAAUUUUCUGUUUUCAGGCUCUCCUUUGUUCCCACAAGCUGACCCAUUCUGGUAGAUCCUAGAAUUCAGUGUGCAGUUUGUCAGUUUUGAUGAAGAGAUCGUGUGUUAGCAGGUGACUGGCUCUCGUUCCUGAAUGGAAUCUGACAAGAGAAGCAAUCAUGGCAUUACAUCCUCUUGGAAUAUAGCUUUACAGAUUGCAAAUUCCUUUUACACAUACUACCUCAGCUGAGCUGCACAGAAACCUGUGAACAAGGGGCUAUUGAUACACUCACUAUAGAGACAUCAAAAAUGAAAACCCUAGCUGUUGAAAGAUUUGUUGAAGGGUGUGCAGUUGGUAAGCAGUAGGCUUGCAAUUGCAGCACAGAUUUGUGACACUGAGUCCUACGCUCUUUCUGUUACAACAGUGUUUUCAAGCUGUGUUCUGUUGAGCCCUAAAAUCUCACAAAUCUGUCUAAAGAGAAAUGUGGGGGAGCAAAAGAGAGGCAGAACAGGUGGGCUCUCUCCCACCACUUCACCAGAGAAGUUAUGACUUUAUCGCUUAUGUAUUUUGGGCUUUCCUAACAUAUUGACUUGAAAUAAAAGGUUUAUGGCUAGCAUAAAAUUUAAAAACCCCUGCACCAACACACACCGUCUUGUGAUGCAAUGGAUGGGAUUUUAGAUUGGUUAGCAAGAGAGUAACUCAGGCCUGUCCAAAGCACAAGGCAGAGUUUGAUUUUCAGAAGUGGAAUUUGAGCUUGACUACAUGCAAACAUAAUUUGAUAAAAAUAAUUUGAUAAAAGACAAGAGUUAAAUCUGGGAAAUGUUUUUCAUUUAAAAUACACUCAUUAUGUUCUUACUGUGUUUCAAGUGUUGUGUCCGCGCUUUAAUUCCUCCUGCUACAGAUAAGAUUAGUCGUAAAUCUAGUGCACGGUACAAAUAUAGCUGGAAGUCAAGCCGUUCUACGUGUGAUGAGCAGGGCUGUCUGAAGGGAUGUUCUACAACGAGGGAAAUGUUCAUAUUUGCGCUAUCUAAUAGGGUAGCCACUAGCUGCAUGUGGCUAAGGAGCACUUGCAAUGUAGCUAGUGUAACUGGUGAACUGCCUUUUUAAUUUUAUUUCAUUUGAAUUUAAAUAGGCACGUGUGGCUGCUGGCUACAGUGCUCAACAGCGCAGCCAAGAAGCCUCAAAGACAAAUAAGCCUAAUGGUGCCUAAAGACAGCACCAUCAUCGCCACCACCAUUAUCAUCACUUCUGUCCUCACAGUCAUGACCACCACCACCACCACCAUCAGCAGCAGCAGCAUCAUUCUGAUCACUGCCACACGAGCUCUGCCAACCGUCGCUGGAUUGCUGCAGCAACUUAAGUGAUCUGUCUGCUUUCAUUCAUGCUUCCCUCCAAUCUGUUAUAACCAGAGUGACCCUGAGAAAGGCACAUGUGAUCUUACCACUGCUCAGCUUAAAAUCCUGCGUAGAGUAAGAUGUUGAAAGUGGGGAUUAUCUGUGGAGACUUCAAGGAUGCUUUGAUUGGAAACACCAGUUUAAUUGGAAGAGGGUUAUGGUUCAGCAUGAUGAAACAAAGAACAACAGAACCAAAUCAAAUUGGAAGAACGGCCAUCAGAACAGUAAGUCUAGAGAUUGUUCUCUGAGCUGGAUGAAAGUGAAAAAUGAGAAACAGAAGAAAACAAAAUUGUUCAUUUGAGACUAUGACACUUAGUAACAGAAAUGAAAGACCCAGUUUUCUAGGGAAAGGCCUACCUCCUGCAUGGAUGGAACAAGAGACCACUCACAGAAUGGGAUUUGAAGGUAAAUAAAGCAAAGCUUUCAAUCACUCUCACCAACUUGCGUGCCUCAUCCCCUCGGACAUUCUCUGUCAGAGUCACUCCAUUGACUAGAAAGAGUCUUGUUAAAAUACUGGACUUACGCUGUAUGCGAUCAAUCUAUAUAAAGAUAACAUGCCGACAUUUGUCUGAUACCACCCUUAGUAAACACCUGUUACUUUUGCCUGCCACAAUCCUCUCCCUUCUUUUGGUCACAGGACAUGAAAUUUCCUUGGGGACACUAUGCCUCUUCCAUUUUCAAUCCAUGUAGUUAAAGUAGGACUGACUCACCUUCUGCUUCUAAAGGAAAGCGUUUGGUCCACAUCUGUCAAUUACUAUUGGGAAUUCUUAGAGAAUCUAGCCCUCUGAGUGGUGAAGAUAUGGGCAUACGACCACCCAAGCUGGGUCAAUGAGAGUACUACCCAGGACUUCACUACAUCAACUGGGAAAUGAUUGACCCACUACAGUUUCUAAGCUGGUGGGUUGUAAGCUUAAAGCUUUUGGUGAUUGCUUCUGUCACUAGAUCCUGAGAGCCAACCUGAGAAAUGAGGCAAUACCAAGGAGCAUGAAGUUGAGAAGUAAAGAAAGACAGAUGAUUGAUGACAAAAUGGCACUAUCUGGACUCAAUUAUGCCUGAAACUGUACUUUAAGAAAUGUGUACUGACAUCUAUUUGACUGGCUUUUUUUUUUUUCCUUACAUGGUUUUAAUCACUUCUAGCAGAAAGAGUCCUAGUGCAAGUCCAUAAGGGAAAAAUUUCACUGUUUGCAAAAAAUAACAUUUCUAGAGCACCUGAAAUUUAGAAACCAUUUCCACAUAUAUGCUUCUGUUUAAUUCUCAUGAUAGAUCUGUAAAGCUGUUAAUUUUGUCCACCUUGUUAAAAGAAAAUUAAGCUCAAAGAUAAUCAUUUACCCAAGAACCCAGAACUAGUAUGUGGUGGGACUUGGUCUAAUCAUUUAUUCUUUUUGACAAAUAUUUAGGGAGUACCAACUCUGUGCCAGAUGCUUGCUGAUUGCUUGGACAGCAACAACAAACAAUAGAGAGAACUGACAUCAUGUUGCACUCACUCUAUGCCAGACACUGUUCUCAUCACUUGCCCCACAUUCACCUACUUAAACUUGACAAUAGCCCUUUGAGGCAGAUAGUAUUAUUACCGGCCUCCAUUUUUUUCACAAAGACAAUUUUUUAGAGCAGUUUUAGAUUCACAGAAAAAACAGAGAUUUCCCAUAUACCUUCCUGCCCCCUCACAUGCAUGGCCUCCCCCAUUAUCAAUAUCCCCCACUGCAGUGGUACCUUUGUCACAAUUGAUGAACCUACAUUGACACAUCAUUAUCAUCUCGAAUCCACAGUUUACAUUAGAGUUUACCUUGGUGUUAUACAAAUGCAUAAUGACACAUAUCCUUAGCACACCCAUUUUAGAGAUGUAGAAACUGAGGAAAGGUGAGAACAGAGGGCUUGUGAAUAUAAUGGUAAGGAGUAGAGCCCAGGUACGUACCCCAGAGCCAUCCAUCUAUCCUCCUAACCACUGCUCUAGUGGUCCUCAAAGUGCCAGACCCCCCUGGCGUCUUUGAGACCCUUCCAUGAGAUCCAUGAGGUCAAAGAAAUUUUUAUAAUAACAUUACAACAUUAUUUGCCUUUUUCACCAUGCUGACCAUUGCUGACCAUUUCACCAUGCUGACAUUUGCACUCAUGGUUCAGAAUAACAGUGGGUAAAAUCAACACAGUGGCACCAAACUUCACUAAUAGUCAUUGUGUUCACACACACAAAAACAUUCUUGUGUGUGUGAUAUGAUAAUGUGUGUGUGUGUAUAUGAUAGUGGUCUUGAGGAAAACCACUUGUGUGAUUGUUUGAAUUGGGAGAUGAACUAGCAACAUUUUUCAUGGAACACUAUUUUUAUUUGAAAGAAUAAGAGUCAAAUUAAGCUUACUCACACUUGGAUAUUUUAUAGAUAAUUUCUGAAAAAUGAAUAAAGUCAACUUAUCAAAAUUUGGGGAAUGCAGCGAAAGCAGUGCUUAGCAGGAAAUGUAUCACACUGAAUAAACAUAUGAGAAAGAAGAAAGAUUAAAUUCCACAAUCUAAGUGUCCACCUUAGAAAACUAGACAAAGAAGAGCAAAUUAAAUCCAAAGUAAGUAGAAGACAAGAAUAAAAAUUAGAGCAGAAAUCAAUGAAAUUGUAAACAGGAAACAAAAAAAGAAAAUAGGGCCAGCCCUGGUACCCGAGUGGUUAAGUUCAGCAUGAUCUGCUUUGGUGGCCUGGGUUCAGUGCCUGGGCACAAACCUACACCACUGGUCAGUGGCCAUGCUGUGAUGGCAUCCCGCAUACAAAAUAGAGGAAGAUCGGCCCAGAUAUUAGCUCAGGGAGAAUCUUCCUCGGCAAAAAGAGGAGGAUUGGGAAUGGAUGUUAGCUCAGGGUGUAUCUUCCUCAGAAAAAAAAAAAGAAGAAGAAGAAAAUAAAUGAAAUCAAAAGCCAGUUCUCUGAAAAGAUCAACAGAAUCAAUAAUCCUCUAGCCAGGCUAAGACAAAAGAAAGAGGAGAGACAAAUUACUAAUAUCAGAAAUGAAAGAGUGGACAUUACUACGGAUCCCAUGGACAUUAAAAGGAUCAUAAAGAUUAUAAACAACUCUGUGACACAAAUUUGAUAACCUAGAUGAAAGAAACCAAUUUCUUCAAAGACACAAUUUGACAAACCCACAAGAGAAGGAAAAACCAAUUUGAACAGGCUUAUAUCUGUUGAAGAAAUUGAAUCAAUAAUGAAUAACCUUCCAAAACAGAAAGCACCAGGCCCAGCUGGGUCACUGGCAAAUUCUACCAAACAUUUAAGGAAGAAAUUAUACCAAUUCUAGACAAUCUCUUUCAGAGGCUAGAAGCAGAGGGAACACUUCCUAACAUAUUCUAUGAGGCCAGCAUUACCCUAACACAGAAACCAGACAAAGACAUUACAAGAAAAUAAAACUACAGGUCAACGUCUCUCCUGAACAUAGAUGCAAAAAUCCUUAACAAAAUAUUAGAUCAGUGGUUGCAAGGGAUUGGUGGGGGAGGGCUGAAUAGGUCAAACCUAGAGGAUUUUCAGGGCAGUGAAGAUACUCUAAAUGAUGCCAUACUAACGGAUACCUGACGUUAUACAUUUGUCCAAACCCAUAGAACGUACAACACCAAGAGUGAGCCCUAAUGUAAUCUAUGGACCUUGGGUAGUUACGAUGUUCCAGGGUGGUUUCAUCAACUGGAACCCAGGUGCCACCCUGGCGAAGGAUGUUGACAGUGGGGGGCUGGGUGUAUGUGCGGGCAGGGAAUAUAUGUGUCUUCCCUGCAGUUUUACUAUGAUCCUAAAACUGCUCUAAAAAAAUAAGGUCUUAAUAAAAAGAAUUAAAAAAAAAUGAAGUGAUCCUGUCACUACAAGACAAGCAGCUGACAGUAUUUGUUGCCAUUCAUUUAAGCUUUCAAGAGAAAAUUAGGAGUUAGAAAAACUUGUAUAUGUCACUGUGAGCUUAAUAGCUUCCUAUUACUUAAAAAUUGUUCUCACGACAUUAGUGGAGAUAUGAACAAAUGAGACUUUGUGAUAUUCUAUCAUAAACUAUGUCAGUAUUUGAAAGAUAUGCAUAACGAGUUAAGCAGUAUCGAUUUAGAUGGUCAAUGAAUGAUAUUACAAAACAAUUCAGAGAUAAAAGAUGCUUUCAAAGGGCAAGACCAGUGAAUUAUAAUGUAACAGCUAAUGAGAAGUUCAUUGAUAUGGUUUCAAAUUCCAUUUUACAGCUAAACUUUAGGGAACUACCGCUCGUCAACCUUCGGUGUACUAGCAAGGAAGACAGUGUGCAAUAUUUUGAUUUUUUUAUGUUCUUCAACCAGAGUAGGACAUCACAACAAACUGAAUGCAGAAGCCUAUGUGGCAAUGGAGCUCUCUUUUACUAAGCCAGACAUUACAGAGAUUUGCAAAAAUAUAAAACGAGUCCUGAGACAAAAAAGUUUGAGAGCUAUGACACUGCCUAUUUCACUUCUCGAAAAUAAAACAGAUGUGCUUACAGUUCUGCCCUCAAGUAAUUUCUCUCUUAGAGGGAAGGGAAAGCUAAAAAACAGGUUAACAUACAAAUUUUAAAAAUACUUAUAGUUGGAGAAAAAUGCUUUGGAGUAAAUACAGCCAGGAUUAUGAUGAUGAUAACUAGAGAGAGCAUAAGAAGGGUGUUACUUUAACUGGGCUGGUCAGGGAGGGUCUCCUUGGAGAAGUGACAAUAAGCUGAGAUGUGAAGGAUGAGAAGAUGUCAGCAGUGCAAUAAGCUAAGCUCAGAGAACAGUGAUUUGGGCAUGGGGAAUAGCAGUGCAAAGACCCUGAGGCAGUAAAACGUUUGGACUAGAUUCCAGCAUUGCAUCAUUCCAAAGCCCAUGCUUCACUUGCCUUCUCAUAAACCACAACUGAUUUCUCUUCGGCCAGCUAUGCUCUGGCCCUUGGAACAGUCCAUCUGGAAAAUGGAGCGGAGAUUGUUUUGAUUCUUCCUAAACGACGGCUUCGUAUUCAGUUAGUUGCCAGGUUAAUCAGGCGCUUGCAGACAGCCUCCCCUUGCUCUAAGGAGUAGAGCUCUCAGGAGCAACGCCGGGCAGCAGUGCCAGGAAACCACUGUUGCAAGAAGUAGGAACAGGGUGGAAUUUAAUUUUACAGGGAGACGACUUAAAUGGGACCUAUAAAUUAUGCAGCUCUUUUUCUAUACCUUGGCCUCAGCCUGGAAUUUUUCAAAAUAAAUUAUUUGAGCCAAUUUCACUGUGGUUGCAAAUAUUACAUCGUGCUCUGUGGUCUCUGAAGCUUGUGUCUUUUGCUGACCUGGCAUUUUAAAAAGCUGCGGAGACCUCCUGAACACAGUGGUGAUUCCCAGUGAAAGUGUUCUUGCUUUUCCCACUCCCCAAGACACUUACGGAGGGCUUAGAAGAAGAAAGCUGAACAACACCUGUGGAGUAAGUGAAGGAAACAAGAAGCAUUAUUUCACUAAAUGAUGGGAUUUCCUUAUAUUUCCAAAAGUCAGAAAGUAAUAUAUCACCUCUCCUUCUGGAGUCAGACUUUAUGAAGCAGUGAUUGUGCAAACACGAAGGGAACACCCGAGUCACUAUCCCAGCGCACAUUUCUCUGUGGAGGCACUAGAGCGGACGCAUUGGAGACCAGGAAGAGGAAGCUGCACACUGGUCAGCAUGACCCCAAACAGAUGGGUGGCCAGGACAGGUCCCGCAACCAGCAAUUUGAUUUGUAGGCGACAUCUCUGAUAACAGCCUUGCAGUGAAAAGAGCCUGUGUUCACAGCUGGAUGUCCUGUAGGGGAACCACAAGGACUUUCUCCCCAUGAUCCAUGAUGAGACAAGUGACCUCAGGCUUCUCUUCCGUCCUUAUUCUCAGAGUUUCAGUUAUUACCCUUAUGCCAGUGACUCAAAUAUUUAUUUCCUUCCUUUUCAAUUGUAUACUGGAUGUUUCACCACAUAACCACACGUCCAAAAUCAAACCACAUAUCCAAAAUCACUGCCAUUGCCCUGCCCUCAAGGUUGAUGUCAUCUUCUCUCUUCCCAUUUUUGCACAUGGCUGCUUUUAUUUUCCAGUUUUUGGGAGUCAAAACCUGGAAGCUAUUGAUGGUUUGUAUACUUUAUUGCUCACAUUGAACCUGCCAAUACCACACUGUAAAUAUAUAUGUUUGGGGGAACCGACAUGUAAGCCUUGAUCCGGGAGAGCCUAGAGCUUGUAAGCUUCAAGGCAGCCGUCCUAACAUGAUCCGAGGAAGUCACCCGAAUCCAGCUGGGCUUGAUUCUCUGUUCCAGAACAGAAAGUUGUGAGAGAGCAACUCUGAGAUGAGACUCCGUGGAGUGAAAAUCACCAGAAUAGAAACACCGUAAAGAGGAGAUUCAUGAAUUUCAAUUUGCUAAACUCUCUGAAAUGGACUUGGAAUUUUAAUUUUUUCCUGAAGAGUUUGCUAUCUCAGUUAUCCCUUUAAAAUGUCUUUCAUUCUCCUUCCAACCACUACCUGCCAUCCUUACCACCACUAGAAUCUAAGUUUGUAUCAUCUCACACAUGUUUUAUUCGUAUACUCCUAGGAAUUUUCUCUGUUUGUAAUCUUUCCCCAUUCCAAGCCAUCCUGUAACUGUGACUGUCCAUGGCUAUCUAUUGCUUAGAAAUCUACGAAGUCUCCCUUCUUCUACUGUAUCAACUCCAAGGCCCUGGAUGAACUGAGUAACUGUUAGUUAAGGCAGCUCCGGUUUUAAUGUCUUCUCAAAGUGAGUCCUUCAACUUGAUCAGCUGUGGAAUCCCACAGUAUGGACACAAUUAUUCCUGCUGUUACAGCUUUGAGCAAGCUUUUCCUCCUUUGGAGAAUGUCUUCCUCACUUCUCUCCUCACUUCUUUGUAUUUUCUCUAACUUUUUUGUAUUUUUAUGAAAAGCCAAGAAUCAUUAUGAAAAAAUCAGUCUAUGAAAGAGAGAGAUAAGGCACCUAAACUAUUAUAAAGAUGGAUACCCAGUUAUAGUGUAGAGGAAUUUGUUUUAGUGCAAUAGUGGUUGAGCUGCUCAUAUUAUCCGUUUAUUCAAUGUUUUCCUCCAGGAACUUGUGCCAGAGUCUUGGGCAGAAGCAGUGGUUAACAGUAAAAGAAAUUCUGCUAAAAUUUUGAUUGAGACCUUGAAUGCUAUGCCCUCUAGUCUAUAGAGGACCUGGGAGAAUAAAGAAUAAACUUAAGAAAGGAUGACUGGAAUAUUGUGGAUGCACACAGUAGGAGGCAGAAAGCUGACGAGUCACAUCAGGAAGGGAGGAGAAGCCAAGAAAACAACAGAUGUGACCAACAUCCUGACUCGCACUGUCUGAGUGAAGUGAAAUGGCUGGCACCGGGACGCGGCAGGGGAAAUUGCUACAUUCCCUGCAUGCACUACACUUGCCUGAGGAAAUGGCAAAAAUUCCAAUGUUAGCUGAGAGGAGUGAAUUCACAAGCCCCAAGUUACUCUCUGGGGACUCCAUAAACUAGCUGGGAAGGAACAAAAUUCAAAGAGACUAAAGUUCCCAUGAUUCUCAUAAUUGUGUAGUGAGAAUAGAAUUAGAGAAAUUCAGCUUCGCUACUGUGUUUGUGAAUUGAUUUAACCCAGAAGCUAAUGCAGCGUAGGAAACCCAAGUGUGAUCUUCACUCUGGGUGACUGCAUGUCCCAAUUGCCGGGGGUUUCCCUACUGUGUUUGCGCCUCCUGUAACUCAGAAAAUGUCCCCAUAUGAAAGAAAAAUUAUAAUUUUUCACCCAAUUUUUCCUUCCAUCCUACAAUAGUCACAUUUUGAAAUGCAAGAUGUUCCACUCUGAUCACACUAAAGACCCCAAAUUCACAGGUCCAGUGAGCUUCAACUUCAGGGCUCUUGUCUUAACACUGGGAAGAAACUUAUGGAGAUGGGUGCUGAUUCUUGGGCUGAUAGGACUUUUCUUUUCAACUUCUCAAUAGAUGCAAAGUUCAGAAUCUCUUCUGCUCUUGUCCUACUUUCAAAGUGAUUUUUUCUAUUCUCACCUUUUGUUUUCUUCUCCUUUUCACCUUCAAAGCCAGUGAGGUGACAUCGUUGGGGCGGUAAACAAUCAUGAUCGCCACUAGUGUCCCUUACGUUGUUACAGCAGAAGUUUGCUAAACUCAUUCCCCUUUGUUACGCCAUUAGAACACCGCAACAAUCUUGCAGCUAAGAAGGGUUUAUCCACCAUUUUACAGAUGAGGAAGUCAUGCUCCGGGAUAGCACGGGAGUUCUCAAGUUGUUCCUCUCAAAGAAGCAGUGUGGGGAAUCUGAGGUGAGGCCUCACAAUUUUAGUCCUGAUUUCUUUCCACUAUAUAAGGUUGCCUGGAAAGUUUCCCCACGGUUUCCACCAUUCUGAGCACUUGGAGGGGAAACUUCUGUAAAUUCUGCAUGUUUCAUCUUGUCACACACAAGUCGUCACUUAGUUCUCAGGAACAGCAAGCCUUGUAAGGGCCCAGUGACGAGCUCAAAAAUUACUUUUCUAGUCUAUAGUUCAACAAUUUUUUAAGUUACUUAGUAUUUUCAGGUCUAUCUUCAGUCUACUACGAAUUACUCUGCGUCUGUUCCACACACCUUCAAGGUGCAGGAGGUAUAUAUAUACGUGUGUGUGUGCUAUAUAUGUAUAAAGAAGUAGUACACUGGAGGUAUGUCUCCUUGCUGGUGUCUGCCAAGCAGCCUUAUACAAACAUUGUGUGGUUUACAUCGGCCAGAGUUUUUGAGCUCCAUGGAUAAACAAGCAUCUCCAACAGUGCCACACUUGAGAAGACACGGUGUACAGCGUGAGAAGAUGAGCUUUGUCAGGAUUUCACCAAGUACUUCUUGGUUUCUCUUAAGUAUAUCCUCAACUCCUAUUAAUAUUAAUGGAUAUUCCACAUGUUUUAGGAGAAAAAAAAAGUAUAUUCUUUGGCAUAGGAGAAACAUAAGAGACUGAACUCCUGAGAAAUUCUGAUGGCAAGGAAUAAAAGUGGAGCACAGUUUCAAGUUGAGUUGUUCUGGGCAAAAUGUCCUAGUAGGUUUCUGGGACAAUUUUAUUUCUUGGACAACAGGGACAAGGAAAUGAAGACCUCACUCUCCUCACUUCAUUGCACGUGAUACUUGAUGACCCCGGUAAGGCUCCUUUCUUACGUCAUGUAAUUGUAUUCAUUUUAUUAGUGUACCCGCCUUCAUCCCCGCCACAGUCGUUUCCCUACCACCCCCACCUUUAAGGUGAAUCCAUUCUAAAGUUUCAAUGUGGUCUUAGAUAUGUAUGUAUCCCUGAACAAAAUAUAGCAUUAUUUUAGGCGUAUAUGUUUUAGACAAAAAUGAUUGGCUUCUAGGUCUUGUUUCAAAUCUCUCUUCUUUUAAAACUCGAGACUUUUUUAUUGCAGUAA
Molecule: long non-coding RNA, 21909 nt
Filed under: Equus asinus (donkey)
Lineage: Eukaryota; Metazoa; Chordata; Mammalia; Perissodactyla; Equidae
Description: lncRNA (ENSEASG00005029897.1)
Source: RNAcentral